This 269-nucleotide ribosomal RNA is filed under the name uncultured bacterium. Its description in RNAcentral is "partial 16S ribosomal RNA". It matches the Rfam family "Bacterial small subunit ribosomal RNA", at positions 524 to 791 of the family's 1533-position model. The record is from RNAcentral.
UACAGGGGGUGCAAACGUUGCUCGGAAUCAUUGGGCGUAAAGCGCACGUAGGCGGUUCGUUAUGUCGGAUGUGAAAGCCCUUGGCUUAACCGAGGAAGUGCAUCCGAAACUGGCGAGCUAGAGUACGAAAGAGGAUCGCGGAAUUCCCGGUGUAGAGGUGAAAUUCGUAGAUAUCGGGAGGAACACCGGUGGCGAAGGCGGCGAUCUGGGUCGAUACUGACGCUGAGGUGCGAAAGCGUGGGGAGCAAACAGGAGUUAGAAACCCUUGU